Molecule: long non-coding RNA, 290 nt
Filed under: Lathyrus oleraceus (garden pea)
Lineage: Eukaryota; Viridiplantae; Streptophyta; Magnoliopsida; Fabales; Fabaceae
Description: Pisum sativum (pea) long non-coding RNA (PSAT_LNC004957)
Source: RNAcentral
AGCUAUGUAAGCCCUUUUUUCUCUAACUUUUUCAUUGGGCUUGGAGUGUAGUUUUCUUUUGCAUUUAGCUAAGUUGAGACAAUCAUUCUCUAGGUGACAUUCCUUGUCACACUCAUACAAGGUGGUUCCUUUCUUAUUAUUUACUUCACCAUUAGUUGAUCUUCUUAAUUGUACCAAGUAUCCUUCUUUGUGAUUUAAUUUGCUCUUCUUUAUAUAUUUGUUAUAAAUUUUACUAAUACCCUUAUUUAUUCAUCAUCAAUUGAGGAAUCAUCAGAUGUGUUAUAACUCUC